Molecule: long non-coding RNA, 4806 nt
Filed under: Taeniopygia guttata (zebra finch)
Lineage: Eukaryota; Metazoa; Chordata; Aves; Passeriformes; Estrildidae
Description: lncRNA (ENSTGUG00000026699.1)
Source: RNAcentral
GGUCUUCAUUCCUGAAGUCUGAGUCAGAAGAAGAUAACCCAAUUAUUACCAUCCUGUUCUCUUCCCUAGGGAGAAUCUCCUGGCCUUCUAGAAGUAGAACUUUCUUGAUCCUGAUGUGUCUUUAAAUAUUACAGCAUUUUUAAGUUAUUUAAAAAAUAUUUUCAAAGAUGUGGUUUAAGCUCAAAUAAAACAGUCUUUCAAGUAGUUAGAGGUGUACCAAGUAGGCUUGGUUGAGAAGCAGCUGCUUUUCCCAGUAAUUUCCUCAGCUGUGGUAUGAGCAGAGCUUGAUAGUCCUGAUGGAAAAAAGCAUAACAUAGCUAUUAUAUUUUAUAUAUAUAUAUCUAUAUAUCUCAGCAUAUUAUAUAAUAAUAUGCUUUCCUUGGGUUUUGCCUAAUGAUGCUGCUGAUUUGUGCACCACGACAUUUUCUGAAGGGCAAAAUUUUCAGUACUAAACACAAAUAGAGCUGUGUUUUCUAGUAAAGACUCUGCCUCAUUUCCUGUUGCCUUACAUGUGGUUUGGUAUUUGUUACUAAAAAUAUAAACUUUUCAUCCAAGAAAAAAAAAAAACCAGGAUUUCUAGACAAAAUCACUGACAUUUAGUGCUGUAUGGCUGGGUUGGCAGAAGGCUUUUUUUCCCAAUCAGGAAUGUUAUUAUUCCUUACUGUUCCAGCUGUUGCCAUGGGUGAGCACUAGGAGACAGAGGGUCUUCAUUUUGAACUUCAUCCUGAAGACUAAACGGUUUCACUUUAGAAUACUGGAAAAGCAAACCAUGUAACUACAGAGUUUUCAUCAGGCAACUAAGUUGCACUGAAAUUGAGUUUUGUGCAAAUUAAUUUAUGAGAAUGACCCCAAACAACAUGGGAACACUGAACAAGUGUCAGGAACUGAAAAGUUGCUCAGCAAAAUAUUUAAAUCAAGCCCACUGAGUUUUCCUAAGUAAAAAAAAAAAAAAAAAAAAACAAAAAACCAAAAAAACCCACAAACGAACAAUGAGGCUCUAUUUCAUUCCUAAUUGUAUUUAGUUGGGGACUCAGUGUUUUUUUAUAAAAAGAAUGAAAAGAAAUUUUGUAUACUGUUAGUUCAAAGUUCUGUUUUAAAGUAGGGCUGCAGCAGAGAUGUGUAGUCUUACAAGAUUUCUAACAGUGUCACCUCAAAGCUGAUUGUGGAAUAUAGCUCUGAGGAAUUCUCAAGAAUUACUCAAUCCAGUGAUACUAUGACAAGGUUUUUGUUGGUUUUCUUUUCUUUCCGGAAAAUCCCCAAGCCUGUUUCCCAAAGCACCAUUUAUUCUGUCUUUUGGACUACACUGCACAAGUCCAUGAGGUUGAAUUCCUAUUUGGUAUCACUUCAAAUACUUUCUUGCAGGUGGUAGAUGCUUUUCAGCUUCAUGGUAAUCUGUGUUACUGAAAUUCCUUGUUUUGCUUUAAUUUCCCUGAUUUUUUUUUCCAUCCCACCUAUAACCUUCUCUUCUUUCAAACGUGCAGGUUUUUCCAUAUGGGGGACACUCCAGAACACUAAGUCAGUGAAAGCUCUAUAAAGUCAAUAUCUGUGAAUUAAAGUGUGUUAAAUCCCUGUGUAUAUGUUCUCAUUUUGAAGUAGGGUGGCCUUCAGUUCUGGUUGCAUAAUCUUCCAUUUGGGUAUUCAUCAGGUUGGCAUUUCAAGGUUGUUGGGGAAUUUUAAAGUGCUGAGCAGGUUUCAGACCAAGCCCUGAUGAACAUGUAAAGGGAUUCACCCCUCUGCACUCUCAGGGUGGCACUUAGGACUUACUGUGCCACGUUUUUCGGCUUCCUGAACUCAAAGCUCAGCACCUGCACAGCAGAGGCCACAUUUCCCAAGUCCUGUUUUCCCAGUGCAGUUGUUUUCAGCACUCUCUGAUUUAUUGCCACUUGUAUGAUGAAUUUAAGUUUCCUGACAACAAUGUGCUUUCUGCUUGGGAUGUUGUGGCUGCCAGGAUGCUUUACUAGUGUAGCAGAGCUUGACUCUAGGAUCAUGAUGUAAACGAUGCCCAUAGAAGUAGGUUUAUUUUACAGCGCCCAUCGGAGGGUAUGCUUGUUUCUCAGAAAAUAAUCUUCCUUUCUCUUUUUCUUCCUCAUUUCUUUCUGCCUGGAUCUGGAGGAUGAGAGCCCCUCUUAGCAUUCAUGCAAGCCAUGUCAGGAAAGCACACACAGCAGGUUUCUCAUGGAGACAUGCAGCUCUCACAUGCUCACUGUCACACUGCUCUGUCACAGUGCAUGUUUGUCCCCCUGUGCUGUCCCCUACCUUGUGUGUCAGUCACCAGUCAGAGGACACGGCUGCAGAGACUUGCAUGGAAGCUUAGCAGAGAAAAUGCGGAACCGAAGCCAUUAAAUUACAGCUCUCCCAAUCCUGAAGAAAGAGCUCCUCCUGAAGGCAAAACCCGGGACCUGAGGCUCUUUAAGUUAAUUGAACUUUCCUUGUGUUCACAGUGCAUUUCAGAAGAGAUCACCUUGUUGUUAUACUUGCACUAUUUUGAGCCCUAAACCCAGAAAAAGGCAGCACAGAAUCCAAGGAGUGCAGUUGCAGAGAAGCAAACCCAAGUGCAAGCAAGCUCCACUUGCAGAUGUGGAGGAAGUCCAGCAUGCAGGCUGGGCAGUGGGACGUGCUGGGAAUGGCAGGAGGGUGAUCCCCUGCCAGAGAAUGAAUGGGCACACUGCUUGGCACUGCUUGGAGGGAGUAAUGGGAUUCAGUGUUCGGUGAUAGACUGAUGGUCACUGCUUAUCUUGUGUUAUAUUGGCAAGAACUCUGUCCAUACUACUUGUUUCUCAUCUAAACUGCUCAAUUUCUGUACAUAUUUCUUCAUUAUGUCAUUUUCACUCAUUUAUUUCCAUGUCAGACCUAAUCCCCAGCCUGCUGGUGUAGGCAGUGUUUCUUUCUAACUUCCGUUGUGUCACCAUAAUGCCACACUUGUGUGUCCCUGCCAGAGUCCUCGUGUCUUCUUGUCUUUGUUUAAAUGUGGGCUUAACUGGAUCACAAAAAUUGGGCAUUACUGGCACGAACACUUCAGAAAAUUUGAUUUGGAGGGGAGGCCAAAAUUUGCUCUUACAUACAUCCCAUGAAGACUUGUAGACACUCAAACGGGGGAUCUAGAAUAUCUGUUGGUGAAAAAUGUUCAUCUUUUCCAUUAAAUGUGCUGCCAAGUUCAGUGAUGUCAUUACUGCUACUCCACAGAGCAUUUAGAAAAAACGAAACCUUGCCCAUGAUUUAAGGGUGGAACUGAACCUGCAGAAGGACUAGCAAAUCACAGGGAGUUUCCCUAAGAAACAAGGCCUACAAAACACAAACCUCUUACUUACAGAGGCUUACUGAAAAACAUGUAUAAAAAAGAUUAAUAUUGGAGUUUUAAUUUUUUUUUAUUAUCUUAAAAGUGUAAACAUCUUUUCUGGUGAUUGAAACUAAGUUUAUUUCAAAUUCAAAUCCUAUACUCAGUGACAGGAAAUUCAGCCCCUCUGACAGUUGUAUGCAAAAUAUAAAUGGGACACACAUACAUGCCCAGCAGGAUUGUCAGUUUUAAGUGUGGGAUCGGUUUAGUUUAUGACUUUCCCAGCAUUUUCUAGGUUUAUAUGUGCAAACAUUUGUGCACACAUGCAUAUCAAUAUGGAUACAAUCUUAAGAACUUAACUCCUUUGGUGAUAUCUUCUUUCCCCUCUGUUCAGUGAGAGCAUAAACCAUGUUACUAAUUUGCUUUGGGGUUAAUAACUGCAGAAUAUCUCUGAAAGAAUCAGUUACUUGAAACCUCUUUUAAAAUAAUUUUGAGCAAGGGAUUUUUUUCUCUUGAAAAGAUUACAAAAAGUUGUUCUCUCUCAUGCUUUCCAUGUGAGUAUCUAUUACAGAGAACCAUUUGCUUUUCCUUUGAGAUGACUUUUCAGUGGGAUUCAUCCAUGCAGUGAGCCAAUCUCUACCCCAUGAUCACAAGACUUGGGCUUUUCUCCUUUUUGAACAAUUUCUUACACUCAAAAACAGGGAAAUAAAAACAUGUCUAUGGAGGAUGUUUUGUAAUUUGUUGCACCUCUAGAAGUAUCUCAGAAAAUACAUACUCUAGAGAUGGUUUGUUUCUGAGAGCUCCUAGUAGCCACUGAGCUGAUUUGGUACUUGCCAACACUGUCUUCAUCCAACUCAUGGCAGUCUGAAAGAUCCAGUGUUUGGGAGCAGCUGUAGAAUUGUAGAAUAUGUUGAGAGUAUAUCUGCCUGUAAAGAAAAAUAAUUUUUUCUGACUUGUUUACUUAAACUUCAAGAAGUAGAAAAUGUGCUACAUUAAUGUUUCUGUCCCUAGAAAAUGAAAAAGCAGAUUAGUUAUUUUUAUUUUUUUUAUUCCCACAGUAAACAUUUUCUGAUUAAUCUCUUUGCCUUUCUUAAAUAAACCGAUGUUAUACAGUAGAAUUUAAAUAUGUUAUGGUCUGUAUUGUCUUUACAUUAUAUGGGGUUUUAAAGAAUGGAAUAUAUCAAAUUUGACAAAAAAUGACCUAAUCAUGAGAACUAAUAUUUAAUCAGACAUGUUUUUUCACCACAGCUGUAACAUGUCGGGCUUGCUUGCACACAAGACUGUCUUGGCCUGUUUUGAGUAGACAGGCAUCUCCCUUUUUGUUCAGACUUUAGAGGUUUUAGAUAAAGCUGCAAGAAUGUGCUUUUGCAAAUUAAAUUUUUUUAAAGAAACUCUUUGGAAUUCUGGAGUAAAUGUAUUUAUUUACCACUAUGUGCAACGACUGAUUUUAGUGUUUGUGACUACAGAACACUGUGCAGAAAUAUUAAACUUACUUUGUUUGAAACAAUAAUGUCUUUCCCUACCCAAGGUCA